RNAcentral lists this transfer RNA (66 nucleotides) under Lampsilis siliquoidea. RNAcentral describes it as "tRNA-His". It matches the Rfam family "tRNA". From Rfam's summary of the family: Transfer RNA (tRNA) molecules are approximately 80 nucleotides in length. Their secondary structure includes four short double-helical elements and three loops (D, anti-codon, and T loops). Further hydrogen bonds mediate the characteristic L-shaped molecular structure. tRNAs have two regions of fundamental functional importance: the anti-codon, which is responsible for specific mRNA codon recognition, and the 3' end, to which the tRNAs corresponding amino acid is attached (by aminoacyl-tRNA synthetases). tRNAs cope with the degeneracy of the genetic code in two manners: having more than one tRNA (with a specific anti-codon) for a particular amino acid; and 'wobble' base-pairing, i.e. permitting non-standard base-pairing at the 3rd anti-codon position. The record is from RNAcentral. Lineage: Eukaryota; Metazoa; Mollusca; Bivalvia; Unionida; Unionidae.
GACGAAAUAGUUUAAGUAAAAUAAUAGAUUGUGGUUCUGUAGAUAGGGUUAUAUAGCUUUUCGUUA